RNAcentral lists this long non-coding RNA (550 nucleotides) under Mytilus galloprovincialis (Mediterranean mussel). Lineage: Eukaryota; Metazoa; Mollusca; Bivalvia; Mytilida; Mytilidae. The record is from RNAcentral.
GUCUUCUUUUUAUUGUUAUGGAUGAUAGAUGUUAUAUUACCUGCCACGUUAGGUCUGUUUUUUUUUUGUUUGAUUUUUUUUCUUCUUUGUAUCGAUCUGACGAGUAAUCAAUUGAUUUUCAUAGUUUGUUCUUAUGUUUCGCUAUUAUAUCACGGUCCCAAUUAAGGGGAAGGUUGAGCACUCACAAAUAUGUUUAACUCCGCCACAUUCUUUAUGUGCUUGCACCUAUAUUGAGAAUUCAUGUCAGUGGUUGUUGUUCGUUGAUGUUCUUCAUAUUUGUUUUCGUAAAUUGUUAUCAAAAAGUCUGUUAGUUUUCUCAUUUUAAUUGUUUAAUAUUUUUUUUAAUGUCGGGCCAUUUUAGAGUCGACAAUACAAUAUGUUUUUUUUUUUAUUUAUGAAGGCCAUACGGUUGCCUUAAAUGCGUGUAUCCGCUUCAUUUGUACUUUGGUGUAUAAUGUCUAAUUUGCUGUUAUACCAUAGAAUCUUUUUUUUAUAUUGAAGUUACUAUAUCGAAAGGAAAAUAUGUAGUAUUCUGAUACAAGUUGAAGAU